UUGACAUGGUCUCUUUAUUUACUGAUAGU
RNAcentral lists this non-coding RNA (29 nucleotides) under Rattus norvegicus (Norway rat). Lineage: Eukaryota; Metazoa; Chordata; Mammalia; Rodentia; Muridae. The record is from RNAcentral.